This 580-nucleotide ribosomal RNA is filed under the name Penicillium oxalicum. RNAcentral's name for it is "eukaryotic LSU rRNA". The stretch from base 195 to 348 matches the Rfam family "5.8S ribosomal RNA". Lineage: Eukaryota; Fungi; Ascomycota; Eurotiomycetes; Eurotiales; Aspergillaceae. The record is from RNAcentral.
CUGCGGAAGGAUCAUUACCGAGUGAGGGCCCUCUGGGUCCAACCUCCCACCCGUGUUUAUCGUACCUUGUUGCUUCGGCGGGCCCGCCUCACGGCCGCCGGGGGGCAUCCGCCCCCGGGCCCGCGCCCGCCGAAGACACACAAACGAACUCUUGUCUGAAGAUUGCAGUCUGAGUACUUGACUAAAUCAGUUAAAACUUUCAACAACGGAUCUCUUGGUUCCGGCAUCGAUGAAGAACGCAGCGAAAUGCGAUAAGUAAUGUGAAUUGCAGAAUUCAGUGAAUCAUCGAGUCUUUGAACGCACAUUGCGCCCCCUGGUAUUCCGGGGGGCAUGCCUGUCCGAGCGUCAUUGCUGCCCUCAAGCACGGCUUGUGUGUUGGGCUCUCGCCCCCCGCUUCCGGGGGGCGGGCCCGAAAGGCAGCGGCGGCACCGCGUCCGGUCCUCGAGCGUAUGGGGCUUCGUCACCCGCUCUGUAGGCCCGGCCGGCGCCCGCCGGCGAACACCAUCAAUCUUAACCAGGUUGACCUCGGAUCAGGUAGGGAUACCCGCUGAACUUAAGCAUAUCAAUAAGACGAGAGAGA